This 257-nucleotide ribosomal RNA is filed under the name uncultured bacterium. Its description in RNAcentral is "partial 16S ribosomal RNA". It matches the Rfam family "Bacterial small subunit ribosomal RNA", at positions 524 to 776 of the family's 1533-position model. The record is from RNAcentral.
UACGUAGGGGGCAAGCGGUUGUCCGGAUUCAUUGGGCGUAAAGAGCGUGAGUAGGCGGCCAGGUAGGUCGGUUGUGAAAACUGGAGGCUCAACCUUCAGAGGUCGACCGAAACCAUCUGGCUAGAGUCCGGGAGAGGAGAGUGGAAUUCCUGGUGUAGCGGUGAAAUGCGCAGAUAGUCAGGAAGAACACCCGUGGCGAAAGCGGCUCUCUGGAACGGUACUGACGCUGAGACGCGAAAGCGUGGGGAGCGAACAGG